RNAcentral lists this ribosomal RNA (253 nucleotides) under uncultured bacterium. RNAcentral's name for it is "partial 16S ribosomal RNA". It matches the Rfam family "Bacterial small subunit ribosomal RNA", at positions 524 to 776 of the family's 1533-position model. The record is from RNAcentral.
UACGGAGGGUGCAAGCGUUAUUCGGAAUUAUUGGGCGUAAAGGGCGUGUAGGCGGCCAGAUAAGUCAGAUGUGAAAGCCCAGGGCUCAACCCUGGAAGUGCAUUUGAAACUGUCUGGCUUGAGUGCGGGAGAGGAAAGCGGAAUUCCCAGUGUAGAGGUGAAAUUCGUAGAUAUUGGGAGGAACACCGGUGGCGAAGGCGGCUUUCUGGACCGACACUGACGCUGAGGCGCGAAAGCGUGGGGAGCAAACAGG